CAGCCGCCGCGGGAAUACGUAGGGUGCAAGCGUUAAUCGGAAUUACUGGGCGUAAAGCGUGCGCAGGCGGUUUUGUAAGACAGAGGUGAAAUCCCCGGGCUCAACCUGGGAACUGCCUUUGUGACUGCAAGGCUGGAGUGCGGCAGAGGGGGAUGGAAUUCCGCGUGUAGCAGUGAAAUGCGUAGAUAUGCGGAGGAACACCGAUGGCGAAGGCAAUCCCCUGGGCCUGCACUGACGCUCAUGCACGAAAGCGUGGGGAGCAGACAGGAUUAGAUACCCCCGUAGUCCCUGUCUCUUAUAC
Molecule: ribosomal RNA, 301 nt
Filed under: uncultured bacterium
Lineage: Bacteria
Description: partial 16S ribosomal RNA
Rfam family: Bacterial small subunit ribosomal RNA
Source: RNAcentral